This is a long non-coding RNA of Oreochromis aureus, 590 nucleotides long. RefSeq lists it as uncharacterized. NCBI's taxonomy places the organism in Eukaryota, Metazoa, Chordata, Actinopteri, Cichliformes, Cichlidae. The transcript is spliced from 5 exons. The record is from RefSeq and is a predicted model, not a curated record.
UGGCACAGCUAGCGACACGGUGACUUUAUUCACCCGCUUCGGCUGUUAUCAGUCCAUACAAUGGGCGUUAUUAGCAGAAAUCAGUCCCAUAGAUGUGGGCCAUCUCCACCUGCUAGAUUGUUGAGAAGGUUGUUAUCAUUCAUCCAGAUGGAGGAUCAGUAACAGGAGCGUGGGAAGACUCCAGAAUCCACUCUGGCUGGAAUCCGGUGGAUACAGCAGUGUUUACAGGUACAGUACGUGAUAUUAAGGGCAGGCGGUCAUCACUGGGGGAAGACAAGAAGCAGACGUACUUCCAAGAGGGAGCUGCAGUGAGGACACAGCCUGGUCACUGAGGUCAGAGGAGGCGCUUAAAGGUUUCCCUAAUAGUUCCUGGUGAAUCAAAGCAGAACCAUAAAGGUUGCUGGACUGCAUGCUGGCCUUACCCCUGAGCAGUCAUCCUGUUAAAGGAGGAACCAGUUAGAAGCUGUUUUCAAAGUAGCUGAGCAGAUUUCAUCUCAACAGACAAAGCCGAUGGCAGAAGAUGUUUGGAGAAGAACUUCAGGCCGUGUACUGAAAAGUAGAUCAAAGCAGCUCGUGCUCUUUCUGCUUCC